Molecule: unclassified non-coding RNA, 338 nt
Filed under: soil metagenome
Description: partial contains 5.8S ribosomal RNA, internal transcribed spacer 2, and large subunit ribosomal RNA
Rfam family: 5.8S ribosomal RNA (bases 1-120)
Source: RNAcentral
GAUGAAGAACGCAGCGAAAUGCGAUACGUAAUGUGAAUUGCAGAAUUCAGUGAAUCAUCGAGUCUUUGAACGCACAUUGCGCCCGCCAGUAUUCUGGCGGGCAUGCCUGUCUGAGCGUCAUUUCAACCCUCAAGCAACUUCUGCUUGGUGUUGGGGAUCGGCCGUCAAACGCCGCCCCCGAAAUCUAUUGGCGAUCUCGCUGUAGCUUCCUAUGCGUAGUAGUAACAUCUCGCAUCUGGAGAGCGGCGCGGUCAUGCCGUAAAACACCCAACUUCUCAGGUUGACCUCAGAUCAGGUAGGAAUACCCGCUGAACUUAAGCAUAUCAAUAAGCGGAGGA